Molecule: RNA transcript, 7922 nt
Organism: Symphalangus syndactylus (siamang)
Lineage: Eukaryota; Metazoa; Chordata; Mammalia; Primates; Hylobatidae
Source: RefSeq, a predicted model, not a curated record
GUGAGGGUGGGGUGCUGUUCCAAGCACGGGAAACAGAGCACCAGGCAGUGGCCAUGGCCCUGGGGCCGGGGCUGGGAGGCGGUUGUUCCAGCAUGCAGUCACUGAGCCUUCCUGUAUGCACUGCUGCAGGUUCUGGGAGACCGUGAAGUGCAAAGCAGAUGGAGUCCAGGCCCUCGAGGAGACAGCACGCCAGUGAGGGAGACGGAGACCAAUCACCCACCCAGUGUGCGGGGAUGAGAAGCUCGGGAAGGUCUGACCAGCCUUACGUCUUGAGAGGGAAACCCCUGCCUCUGCGUGUCAGGUGUUACUCGGGGUGCGCCAGUGGAAGCAGGAGGCAGUCGCAGCUUUCAGAGAGGCAGCAGAGUGUAAUGACAGAGAACCAGCUAUGGAGCUGGCCUGAGUCGGCAUCUGGGCUCCACCUCACCAGCUGUGUGUGAAACCACUUUGUUCCUGUUUUCUUAUUUCCAUCAUCAACACAGAAGACUUCAGUGACCGAAUGUGUGGGGGUUCCUCCGGAAGGAAGCCUGGGAGACGAUUCCUCUGGCCAAGCAGACACCAGAAAAGUGCUCAUAGGCGCUGUGAAGGCCUCGAUGUCCCCUGGUGCCAAUGCAACAGAGAAGCCAGCAAAAUGCUCUGCAUGGGACAAGUUCUGGUUUUUGCUACAGAGACUGUAAGAGAUGCAAAGCCAGGACGGUGAGGGUGAGCUGGGGUGGGGGAGGCGCAGGGGGAUCCCCAGCAGGGGGAGGGCAUUUGAAGAUGGGGGCGGCUGCUCCUUGGAAGCUGGCAGGCAUGGCCACAGAAUACGUGCCCCUUUCCUGGUCCCCUCGAGGUCUGCAGAGCCCUGAGUGCUCAUGCCAUGAAAAUGAGUGUCUCUGAGUUUGGAGAGCUGGCCUCCACACCGGGCUUCCUGAGGACAGGAGCAGGAGCAGGAGGCUGAGGCCAGGGGGAUGGCAGCCCCCAGGGAUCUGAGGAAGCCUGGGAGCUGGCUUUGAACUUCUGCCCACGCUGGAACUUGGGGAGAAGAGGGAGAUGUGAGUCAGGUUUUCCUAGUUCCUGAGGGCCUGGGAGGCCUUGGCUGGCAUCCAGUUUACAUAGAGAGUGUCCCCACCUGACGGUUCUGAUCCAGAUUCUGGUACCCGAGUGAGCUAGGCCAUAGGAGCAGCUGGUGCCCUUGCUGUCCCUGAAGGCAGCAUGGGAGGCCCCCAGGACUGGGGCUAAGGCUUUCCAGAGAGAAGGAGGUGCCUUUCCCUGCCAACUUCCUAGCUUUAAGGCACGCUCCGGACAUCCAGAGUGAGCUCCUGCACCUGCCGGAACCCCUUGAGCUGCCUCUACCUUCCAGGAUGACCCAUUCCCAGUUUUCCCAAUUACCUUUCACAUUUCCUCUUUGGAAAUGGAAUUUGGUUUUGAGGUUGAGCAGGUGGCUAGAGACAUAGAACAUAAAUAUAUCAUGACUUGGGAGUUGACUUGCUUAUCAUGGAAAUAAAUGUCCUCCCUCCUCAAGAAGGAGUCGCUUGGCCAGGUCACUUCGAUCUUGCCCUGUGGUGAAAUCAGACGGCCCCUGGCUCGUGGGCGCUGGAACCAGGGGGGAGUUUCAGGGUGAGUCAUGAAUGCUGGGGGGGCAGGGGUGAAUGGGCUGUACUGUCAGCUUUGUUUUCCUGUCGGGCGAGAGAGAGAGAAAGGAGGGGGAUAAGAGAGAAUGAUGCCAAGGAGGCGCCUGGGCAGCUGAUGAGCUCAGCCCCAGGGUGACUGCGGUCAUUUGGGUCAGCAAUGGGGACAGAUACCAGCCCCAGCUGGGUCAUGGGUCAUUUAUGGCCUGGGUCUCCCCCUCUCCUCCCUCCUCCUUCUCUCCAACCUGCUUUCUUGCUGCUGGAAGCGGGUGUGCAGGCUCCCGUGUGCCUGGCACAGCAGAGGCAGCACAGGAGACUCCAUGGGGCCUGUGUCCUGCACCCCCACGCCCCCACCCCCAGCCACAGCCCUUUGAGAGCACAGCAGAAUGAACGCCUGAUUAGGAAUCAGAUGCCAGAAAGAAGCCGUGUCUGUUCCAAAAUCAAGAGACCAGGAGAGGUGGCGUCCUUUAAAAGGAGAGAGCUAAGUGACAGAGAGGGGGCUUGUCCCCAGCCCAGGCACCUCAGGGCUGCAAGCCCCUUUGAGAUGCGGGGCUCAGGCCUCACCAGGGGAAAUGUGGGCAUCUAGGUGACCCUCCACACUGAGCAGACCCAGCACAGGCUGUGCCACUCGUUAUAGGCUGCGGGGCCUGCACAGACCCCAGGCAGCGAGCCUGCGAUGGGGCAGGGUGUGGUGUGGAGGCCAAGCCCCUCCUCUGCUGGUUGGCAGCUUGGCCCAGCCUCCUCACUUGUGAACAGUCAGCUCUGCCCCUGGGCUGUCAGGAGGAUUAAAUGAGAUAAGACAUAAACACAGAGCAACUCCUUGCUAAGAGCCAUGCUGUACCAAGCAAGGCACAGCAAAGGGAAAGAGAAAUCCAGCGGCACCAGUGGGCUGAGAAGCCGUCAGGUUUGGCUGCUGCUGUUGUCUGUGUCUCCCGCCUUCCUCCUGAGCUGUGCUUCCAGGGAAGCCCUGGCCCUUCGUGCCAGCCGGUGACAUUUCUGCAAUUAUUCCUAAAGAGGGGCCUGUGGGUCGAGUGAGCUAAGCAGGGCUGGGCAAGGUGGUGUCCACCGGUCAGUGCCAGAGUCUCCCUAAUGUGGCCUGUAAGACGGAGCUGGUGUUGAACAAAGGAACAGGGUGAUCUGGGAGCAGCAGCAGCCGCUGUCCUGAGCAUCUGGGUCAGGACGACACGGAUGCCACCCCAGGACCCCUGGCAUAGGGAGCCGAGCAGGGCAGCCGGGCAGAGGCAGGAACGAAUUCUGCUCAGCUGCAGAAUAGUCACAGACACCCCCCCACCAGCAACGUCCCUGGAGCAGUCUUUCUUAUUAAAAAAUAUUGAGUGUCAGUUAUGUGUCAGGCACUGUUCUGGACACGAGGUCUUAGGAACAAACAAAAUAUACAGAAACUUGGCCCUUGUGUUGCUCAGGAUGAAGAGGAGAAGACAGGAGCUGUGAGGUGUCCCCACCUGUCCAGAGGCUGGGAAAAGAUGGUGCUGCUUGUUUAGAAAACCAGGCAGAGGAGCCCUGCUAGUCCAGGCCGGGCCAACGCCCGAGGAUGAGGGGAAGCACAGCUCCUUUGGGGUCUGCGUGCAUUUGAGCAUGAGUGCGUUAACGGGGAAUGUGUGUGUUAACAGGGCAUGCGUUUGGGAGCCAGACAGACCUGGGCUGAGUCCUGCCCUAUUUGCUAACUAGCCUGCUGUGUCGCCUUGCGUGGAUGAAAUUUCUCUGCUCUAAGUCAUGGGUGCUGAGGCCUGCCUGUCUGGCAAGGGUCUGGGGGAGGUCGGACGAGAUGAAGGAGGCCGGGGCUAGCACCAUGGUGGUCCCUGGGCUGUGCCUGUUUCCCUCCCACUUCCGCUGCCUCCAUCUGACCCUGCUCUGGAGGGACCGGGGGAGGGGCGGACGGCGGACACUGCUUCUGCAGCGCUCCUUGUCUCCGUCAGUGAUUUAUAGGAAGCCCGCUCAACCGAGAGCUAAGGGAAGAUGGUGAAGGCCCUUUUGUUUUUAGUUCAAUUUUGUGAGCAGAAUGCUCCUGGGGCCAAUAGAUUUUUCCAGUAAUGAAAUUGUAAAAAUAAUUGAAUUAUGCCUUUCCAGCUUCAAAGACAACCUGUGCCCUUUCCCCAGCCCUCCGCGUGGCAUUAGAGAACAUUCGCCUCCUGCUGGGUCGGCCCCUUCCCCUCUUCCUUCUGUCUGUCGGUGCAGCCUCUGAAUAGACUCCUGGCGUAGGGAGGGGCGGGGUGUGCUGUUGCUGCACCCAGGACUGCCUGCAUCAGUUGCAAAAUGCGAUGUGGGGCCCUUUGUUGAAAAACAAUGAAGCAUUUCAAGAUGGUGGCAGCAGAGCUUGAAACCGAGCUCAGGGCCCACCUGAGCAGGGCCCCGGUGUGGCCACACAGAUCCCACACCCGUGAUGCCAGUCCCCUGAGUCCCGGGGAACAGUGGCAAAUCAGCACUCAGGAAAUAUCUGUUGAAUGGAAAAUCCGGUUUCCUUCGCCUUCUUCCUUGUCUGUCCUCUCCUGCCGCCUCCAUUCAACUUUCUUCCUUCUUCUCACAGCACUCGACAGUGUAGACUCUGACUGCCUGGGUUCAAAUGAGCUCACCAUUUCCUAGUUGUAAGCCCUUCGGCAAGUGACUUAAACGCUCUGUGCUAAGAUUUCCGCAUCUGCAAAAUGGGGAGAUAAAGAGCUCCUACCUCCUAGGAUCGUCAUGAGAAUGAGGUGUGCGAAGCUUGGCUGGCUUGGGUUCCAUAGCAGGCACUCAGGGGUGUUGGCCACGAAGAUUAUUCUUUCUCUUCUCUCUUUUCCAUCUUAUUUCAUCUCUCUCCGUUAUUUGGUUCCCCUGUCCUUAGUCCCCUUUCUCCCCCAGUGGCAUCCCAAGAUGCACAAUAGUGGCAAGUGCCCAGCCUGUUUCUGCAGCCUGAUCCCCACCACUGGUUGGCCAGUCGCCCAAGGAGCAGCUGGAUCCGUCAUCUGGCUCUAGGGAUGACCCAGUUCCAGCAUCCCCGCAAGCCCCCGUCUAUCCCCCUACCUCCCUCAGCAGAGGCCCAGCCCAAUGCAGGCCCGUGGCUGGAUGGGAGUAGCUCUUCCCACUGACCCUGGGAAGGGCUCUGCGGGGCUUGGGAGCCUCACCUGGAAUCGGCCCUCAAGCCUCAGUAGAGAAGGAGAGCGAGUAGAGAGGUGAUGGGGCUCCCUGGGCACCCCCAAUGCACAGUCUCCUUCUGGGGCUUCUGAUGGCCACACAGCCGGAAGACCUGCCCAGAAGAAUUCAGUAUAACCCAGUUCAGUGAACUUGGAGAGAACAAGGGCCUGUGCCGGCCGGGCAGAAGGCAGGGUUCCUGCCCUCUGGAGCCCUUGGCCUGGCGCGGGCUGAUUAGGACCUAGAUCUGCUUGGGUGGCUGGGUGGCCAAGUGGUGAUUGGGCUGGUUCUGUGCAGGGUGUGCUCCGUGGGGGGCGUGAUCUGGCAAAGCAUUGGAGGUGGGACUGUGGAGGCACCAUUGACUGAACUGUGUCCCCUGCAAUUCACAUGUUGAGGCCCAAACCCCCAGUGUGGCUGCAUUUGGAGUAGGGCAGUAAUUAUGGUUAAAUGAGGUCGUACGGGCGGGUGCUGAUCCACUAGGAUUAGGAUCCUUAUAAGUUAAACCUGCCACCUUCUCUCUGCCACAUGAGGACAUGGGGAGGAGGUGGCCGUCUCCCACCCAGGAGGAGGCCUUACUGGACACUGGGCCCUGGCUGCACCUUGACCUUGGACUUCUGGUCCCCAGAACUGUGAGAAGUAGAUUUCUGCUGAUUACGCUGCCCAUCUGCGGCCUGAGCUAAGACAGCGGCGCUUGGGGAGAAGCAGAAUUUGAGGAGCUCCUCAGUGGCAGCUGCCCUGGCCCUGAUGUCAACAGAGGGGAACGGCCAUCCACUGCUGGCCCCUCACCAGCUGGGCCUUCAGUGAGCUCCCUGGGCAGGUGAGGCUCUCCCAGCUCUGUGUCCCCCGUGAAACAGGCCCACAAUUGAGCGCCUGUGGAGUGGAGUGAGGAAGAAACACUCCCCGAGGGGUCACUCUCUUCAGAAGACCUCAAUGACUGUAGACUACUGAUUUUUUUCCUUAAAAAAAAAAAAAAAAGGCUACGUAUGGUGGCUCAUGCCUAUAAUCCCAGCACUUUGGGAGGACAAAGGACCACCUGAAGCCAGGAGUUCCAGACUAGCCUGGGCAACACAGCAAGACCCCAUCUCUACAAAAAAUUUAAAACUUAGCCAGGCAUGGUGGCACAUGCCUGUAGUUUCAGGUAUUUGGGAGGCUGAGGCAGGAGGAUCACUUGAGCCCAGGAGCUAGAUAGAGGCUGCAGUGAGCUAUGAUUGCACCACUGCUUUCCAGCCUGGGUGACAGAGUGAGACUCAAAAAUGAUUAAAAAAAAAAAAAGAAAAAAUGUUGAUAGCUGCUAUAAAGUUUCUCUUAUGCAGUACCUCCUCAUUUUACAGGAAAUUUGGAGAUAGGGAAGAUAGAAAGAAGAGGAAAAGAUGCCUAAAUAUACCCAGAAAGGCCUUGCUAACACGCUGCUGUAGUCCUUCUAUUCCUUAAUCUAGGCAUGUGGGCUUUUUUCUUAUUUAAAAAUGUUGAUUUAGAUAUAAUUAUAUGCAGAAAAGUGCACAAAUCUGAAGUCUGUAGUUUGAUAAGUUUUAGACAUGUGCAUACUCUGCACCCACCACCUCUGUUAGGAUAUAGAGCAUGGCCAGUGCCCAGAGGGCACCACAGGCCCUGCCCAGCUGCACUCACACUCUCUUCAGUAACCCCUCAUUCUGACUCUAUUGCCAUAGAAUAGUUUGGUCUUUCUUAAACCUCAUAUAAACGAACCGUGUUGUAUGUGGUCUUUGUGUCUCACUGUUUUUUCCCCUAUUUUAAAAAUUGUGUUAAAACACACAAACUUUAUCAUCUUGACCAUUUUUAAGUGUACAGUUCAACGUUAUUAAAUACAUUCAUAAUGUUGUAUAACCAUCACCGCCAUCCAUCUCUAGAACUCUUCUCAUCUUAGAAAACUAAACUCUAUACUCACUAAACACUAACUCUCUAUUCCCUCCUCCCCACAGCCCCUGGUAACCACCAUCCUACCUUCUGUUCAUAUGAAUUUGAAAAAAUUUUUAUUUUAGUUUUUGAGAUAGAGUCUCGCUAUGUUCCCCAGGUGGGAGUGCAGUGGCACGAUCUUGGCUUACUGCAACCUCCGCCUCCCAGGUUCAAGCAAUUCUCCUCCCUCAGCCCUCUGAGUAGCUGGGAUUACAGGCAUACACCACCACGUUCAGCUAAUUUUUUUUUUUUUUUUUUUUAGUAGAGACAGGUUUUCACCAUGUUGACCAGGCUGGUCUCAAACACCUGACCUCAGGUGAUCCACCUGCCUCAGUCUCCCAAAGUGCUGGGAUUACAGGCAUGAGCCAUUGCGCCCGGCUGUGUUCCUAUGAUUUUGACCAUUCUAGGUACCUCCUAUGGAUGGAUUCAUAUAGUACUUGCCUUUUUGUGUCUAGCUUAUUUCACUUAGCAUAAUGUCUUCAGAGUUCAUCCAUAUCUGUAGCAUGUCUGAAUUUCUUUCCUUUUCUUAGGCUGAAUAAUAUUUCAUUAUGGAUAUCAUGGCAUGUUGCUCAUCCAUUCAUUAGUCAAUGGACACUGGGUAGCAUCCGCCCAAGUUUUAGACAUUGGGAAUAAUGCUGCUGUGAACAUGUGUGCACAAAAUAUCUCUUCAAAACCCUGUUUUCAGUUCUUUUGGGCAUAUACCCAGAAGUGGAAUUCCUGAUCAUAUGGUAAUUCUACUUCUAAUUUUUUUUUUUUUUAGACGGAGUUUUGCUCUUGUUGCCCAGGCUAGAGUGCAAUGGCGCAAUCUUGACUCACUGCAACCUCCGCCUCCUGGGUUCAAGCGAUUCUCCUGCCUCAGCCUCCCAAGUCGCUGGGAUUACAGACGUACGCCACCAUGCCCGGCUAAUUUUGUAUUUUUAGUAGAGACGGGGUUUCUCCAUGUUGGUCAGGCUGGUCUCGAACUCCCAACCUCAAGUGAUCCGCCUGCCUCAGCCUCCCAAAGUGCUGGGAUUACAGGCAUGAGCCACUGUCUACUUCUAAUUUUUUAAAGGAACCACAUACUGUUUUCUACAGUGGCUGCAUCAUUUUACAUUUUGUAUUGGUGUCUUUUGCUUAAUAUUGGUCAGGGAAAUUCAUCAAUGUGAACAGCACAAGUUUGUUUAUAAUUGCUGUGUUAAGGAUUCCAUUGUAUGAACAAAACACAAUCUAUUAAUUCCCCUAUUAAUGGACAUUUGGAUUGUUGCCCACUGUGGCUAUUAUGAAUAAAGCUGUCAUUAACCA